GCUCCUGUAGUUCAACGGAUAGAACAGAGGACUCCUAAGCCUCUAAUGUAGGUUCAAUUCCUGCCAGGAGCA
This 72-nucleotide transfer RNA is filed under the name Candidatus Wildermuthbacteria bacterium. RNAcentral's name for it is "tRNA-Arg". It matches the Rfam family "tRNA". Rfam says of the family: Transfer RNA (tRNA) molecules are approximately 80 nucleotides in length. The record is from RNAcentral. Lineage: Bacteria; Candidatus Wildermuthiibacteriota.